This 470-nucleotide ribosomal RNA is filed under the name uncultured bacterium. RNAcentral describes it as "bacterial SSU rRNA". It matches the Rfam family "Bacterial small subunit ribosomal RNA", at positions 30 to 496 of the family's 1533-position model. The record is from RNAcentral.
AUUGAACGCUGGCGGCAGGCCUAACACAUGCAAGUCGAACGGUAACAGGAAUAGCUUGCUAUUUGCUGACGAGUGGCGGACGGGUGAGUAAUGCUUGGGAACUUGCCUUUGGGAGGGGGAUAACAGUUGGAAACGACUGCUAAUACCGCAUAACGUCUACGGACCAAACGGGGCUUCGGCUCCGGCCUAAAGAGAGGCCCAAGUGAGAUUAGCUAGUUGGUGGGGUAAAGGCUCACCAAGGCGACGAUCUCUAGCUGUUCUGAGAGGAAGAUCAGCCACACUGGGACUGAGACACGGCCCAGACUCCUACGGGAGGCAGCAGUGGGGAAUAUUGCACAAUGGGGGAAACCCUGAUGCAGCCAUGCCGCGUGUGUGAAGAAGGCCUUCGGGUUGUAAAGCACUUUCAGUUGUGAGGAAAGUUGGUAGUUAAUACCUGCCAGCUGUGACGUUAACAACAGAAGAAGCACCGG